CCUCCGAGGGCGUAGCGAGGGAAAUUGGCUAGGCCGUGGCAGGGCUAGGAGGGGCGUGGAGGACGCGGGGGCUCGCAGGGACGGGGCCGAGGCGUGCGCGCGGAGGCCAUGUUGGAGGCCAUGUGGGAGGCCAUGUUGGAGGCCAUGUUUGUUGUGAUGUGUUGAGGCGGGGAUUCGGUGCUCAAGUCCGCGCUCGAUGAGAGGCUGUCUUAAUGUAUUUGUUAAUUAUAUAUAAUUACUUCCUAGUGUAUGUGUGAAACUGACAAAAGGUGUAAAUAGAGAACGUGAAAAUACUGUAUACGAAAGAAAAGUGGACAUUGUGCUUCUAAGAAGCACUUGUAACUUGAUUUUUAAACCUGAAGAUAUUAAUAGAAUACCUGUUUAAUCCCAAGAGGACGACAAACUUCAUAAUAAGGGACCAAUCAAGGUAAGUUGUUGUUUUAUUGC
Penaeus indicus is the source of this 447-nucleotide long non-coding RNA. RefSeq lists it as uncharacterized. The transcript is spliced from 3 exons. The record is from RefSeq and is a predicted model, not a curated record. NCBI's taxonomy places the organism in Eukaryota, Metazoa, Arthropoda, Malacostraca, Decapoda, Penaeidae.